ACGCGCAUAGCGGUGGCCGUCGUCGCCGUGGUCGUACAGCGACUGGUGCUCGAAGCGCUCGGUCGCAUCGAGCCGCGCGUGC
This 82-nucleotide transfer RNA is filed under the name Burkholderia contaminans. RNAcentral's name for it is "tRNA-Cys". Lineage: Bacteria; Pseudomonadati; Pseudomonadota; Betaproteobacteria; Burkholderiales; Burkholderiaceae. The record is from RNAcentral.